UGGCGGACGGGUGAGUAACGCGUAGGUAUCUAUCCUUGGGUGGGGGGACAACCGUGGGAAACUACGGCUAAUACCGCAUGAUAACUGUGGUUUUAAAGGCGCAAGUCGCCUGGGGCGGAGCCUGCGUACGAUUAGCCAGUUGGUGGGGUAAAGGCCUACCAAGGCUGUGAUCGUUAGCUGGUCUGAGAGGAUGAUCAGCCACAUUGGGACUGAGACACGGCCCAA
This 225-nucleotide ribosomal RNA is filed under the name uncultured bacterium. Its description in RNAcentral is "partial 16S ribosomal RNA". It matches the Rfam family "Bacterial small subunit ribosomal RNA", at positions 96 to 334 of the family's 1533-position model. The record is from RNAcentral.